ACAAAUAAUUGUUAGGUGAGGCUCCUAUAUGGACACAAGCUGCUGCCGCAAAAGCAUCGAGAGAUGCUUAGUUGGUAGGACAGGUCUAAUCGUGAAGGUUAAACCCAAAGCAGCUGAUAGCAAAUUUGCUAUCUACGCCCUAUAGUGCUAAAGCUCUACAAUGAUCAUGAGU
Molecule: regulatory RNA element, 172 nt
Organism: Enterococcus casseliflavus EC20
Lineage: Bacteria; Bacillati; Bacillota; Bacilli; Lactobacillales; Enterococcaceae
Rfam family: M-box riboswitch aptamer (ykoK leader)
About the family: M-box riboswitch, also know as ykoK leader is described as a metaloregulatory RNA that sense divalent metals and function as a genetic control element of genes related to divalent metal transport in bacteria.
Source: Rfam